CACCAAUAGAUGUGUGGGAGUAUGGGAAUGGGAAGGCUGCAACGGACGCUGCAAACUCACUGCUGACACCAGGGCUCUCGUGUGGGACGGAUUUUUAAGAGGAUUGGCCAGGUGUGCCCUGUUGGGUACAGAUCCUUCCGGAUGGCGAGCUAGACUCAAGAGUUUGAACCCUGCAACACACACCAACCUUCUGCAGUCUGGUAGGAGGCUGUUUGAAAGCCAGCCCACUCCCAUCU
Long non-coding RNA from Melanotaenia boesemani (Boeseman's rainbowfish), 236 nucleotides. RefSeq lists it as uncharacterized. NCBI's taxonomy places the organism in Eukaryota, Metazoa, Chordata, Actinopteri, Atheriniformes, Melanotaeniidae. The record is from RefSeq and is a predicted model, not a curated record. The transcript is spliced from 3 exons.